UUAAGCGACUAAGCGUACACGGUGGAUGCCUAGGCAGUCAGAGGCGAUGAAGGGCGUGCUAAUCUGCGAAAAGCGUCGGUAAGCUGAUAUGAAGCGUUAUAACCGACGAUACCCGAAUGGGGAAACCCAGUGCAAUACGUUGCACUAUCGUUAGAUGAAUACAUAGUCUAACGAGGCGAACCGGGGGAACUGAAACAUCUAAGUACCCCGAGGAAAAGAAAUCAACCGAGAUUCCCCCAGUAGCGGCGAGCGAACGGGGAGGAGCCCAGAGUCUGAAUCAGUUUGUGUGUUAGUGGAAGCGUCUGGAAAGUCGCACGGUACAGGGUGAUAGUCCCGUACACCAAAAUGCACAGGCUGUGAACUCGAUGAGUAGGGCGGGACACGUGACAUCCUGUCUGAAUAUGGGGGGACCAUCCUCCAAGGCUAAAUACUCCUGACUGACCGAUAGUGAACCAGUACCGUGAGGGAAAGGCGAAAAGAACCCCGGCGAGGGGAGUGAAAUAGAACCUGAAACCGUGUACGUACAAGCAGUGGGAGCACCUUCGUGGUGUGACUGCGUACCUUUUGUAUAAUGGGUCAGCGACUUAUAUUUUGUAGCAAGGUUAACCGAAUAGGGGAGCCGUAGGGAAACCGAGUCUUAACUGGGCGUCUAGUUGCAAGGUAUAGACCCGAAACCCGGUGAUCUAGCCAUGGGCAGGUUGAAGGUUGGGUAACACUAACUGGAGGACCGAACCGACUAAUGUUGAAAAAUUAGCGGAUGACUUGUGGCUGGGGGUGAAAGGCCAAUCAAACCGGGAGAUAGCUGGUUCUCCCCGAAAGCUAUUUAGGUAGCGCCUCGUGAACUCAUCUUCGGGGGUAGAGCACUGUUUCGGCUAGGGGGCCAUCCCGGCUUACCAAACCGAUGCAAACUCCGAAUACCGAAGAAUGUUAUCACGGGAGACACACGGCGGGUGCUAACGUCCGUCGUGAAGAGGGAAACAACCCAGACCGCCAGCUAAGGUCCCAAAGUCAUGGUUAAGUGGGAAACGAUGUGGGAAGGCACAGACAGCCAGGAUGUUGGCUUAGAAGCAGCCAUCAUUUAAAGAAAGCGUAAUAGCUCACUGGUCGAGUCGGCCUGCGCGGAAGAUGUAACGGGGCUAAACCAUGCACCGAAGCUGCGGCAGCGACACUUAGGUGUUGUUGGGUAGGGGAGCGUUCUGUAAGCCGUUGAAGGUGACCUGUGAGGGUUGCUGGAGGUAUCAGAAGUGCGAAUGCUGACAUAAGUAACGAUAAUGCGGGUGAAAAACCCGCACGCCGGAAGACCAAGGGUUCCUGUCCAACGUUAAUCGGGGCAGGGUGAGUCGACCCCUAAGGCGAGGCUGAAAAGCGUAGUCGAUGGGAAACAGGUUAAUAUUCCUGUACUUGGUGUUACUGCGAAGGGGGGACGGAGAAGGCUAGGCUGGCCGGGCGACGGUUGUCCCGGUUUAAGCGUGUAGGGGGAGUGACCAGGUAAAUCCGGUUGCUUAUCAACCCUGAGGCGUGAUGACGAUGCACUACGGUGCAGAAGCAGUUGAUGCCAUGCUUCCAGGAAAAGCCUCUAAGCAUCAGGUAACAUUAAAUCGUACCCCAAACCGACACAGGUGGUCAGGUAGAGAAUACUCAGGCGCUUGAGAGAACUCGGGUGAAGGAACUAGGCAAAAUGGUGCCGUAACUUCGGGAGAAGGCACGCUGGCGUUAGGUGAAAGGACUAGCUCCUGGAGCUGAAGCCAGUCGCAGAUACCAGCUGGCUGCAACUGUUUAAUAAAAACACAGCACUGUGCAAACACGAAAGUGGACGUAUACGGUGUGACGCCUGCCCGGUGCUGGAAGGUUAAUUGAUGGGGUCAGCCGCAAGGCGAAGCUCUUGAUCGAAGCCCCAGUAAACGGCGGCCGUAACUAUAACGGUCCUAAGGUAGCGAAAUUCCUUGUCGGGUAAGUUCCGACCUGCACGAAUGGCGUAAUGAUGGCCAGGCUGUCUCCACCCGAGACUCAGUGAAAUUGAACUCGCUGUGAAGAUGCAGUGUACCCGCGGCAAGACGGAAAGACCCCGUGAACCUUUACUAUAGCUUGACACUGAACAUUGAGCCUUGAUGUGUAGGAUAGGUGGGAGGCCUUGAAGUGUGGACGCCAGUCUGCAUGGAGCCAACCUUGAAAUACCACCCUUUAAUGUUUGAUGUUCUAACUCGGCCCCAUGAUCUGGGGUGAGGACAGUGUCUGGUGGGUAGUUUGACUGGGGCGGUCUCCUCCCAAAGAGUAACGGAGGAGCACGAAGGUUAGCUAAUCACGGUCGGACAUCGUGAGGUUAGUGCAAAGGCAUAAGCUAGCUUGACUGCGAGAGUGACGGCUCGAGCAGGUACGAAAGUAGGUCUUAGUGAUCCGGUGGUUCUGAAUGGAAGGGCCAUCGCUCAACGGAUAAAAGGUACUCCGGGGAUAACAGGCUGAUACCGCCCAAGAGUUCAUAUCGACGGCGGUGUUUGGCACCUCGAUGUCGGCUCAUCACAUCCUGGGGCUGAAGUAGGUCCCAAGGGUAUGGCUGUUCGCCAUUUAAAGUGGUACGCGAGCUGGGUUUAGAACGUCGUGAGACAGUUCGGUCCCUAUCUGCCGUGGGCGUUGGAAGAUUGAGAGGGGCUGCUCCUAGUACGAGAGGACCGGAGUGGACGAAUCACUGGUGUUCGGGUUGUCAUGCCAAUGGCAUUGCCCGGUAGCUAAAUUCGGAAGAGAUAACCGCUGAAAGCAUCUAAGCGGGAAACUUGCCUCGAGAUGAGUCUUCCCUGGGGCUUAAAGCCCCCUGAAGGAACGUUAAAGACUAUGACGUUGAUAGGCUGGGUGUGUAAGUGCAGCGAUGUAUUGAGCUAACCAGUACUAAUGAUCCGUGAGGCUUAACCUU
Molecule: ribosomal RNA, 2905 nt
Filed under: Yersinia pseudotuberculosis
Lineage: Bacteria; Pseudomonadati; Pseudomonadota; Gammaproteobacteria; Enterobacterales; Yersiniaceae
Also listed under: 1 other name
Description: bacterial LSU rRNA
Rfam family: Bacterial large subunit ribosomal RNA
Source: RNAcentral